AUUGAGCGCUGGCGGCAGGCUUAACACAUGCGAGUCGAGCGGAGAGAGGUAGCUUGCUACUGAUCUUAGCGGCGGACGGGUGAGUAAUGCUUAGGAAUCUGCCUAUUAGUGGGGGACAACAUUUCGAAAGGAAUGCUAAUACCGCAUACGUCCUACGGGAGAAAGCAGGGGAUCUUCGGACCUUGCGCUAAUAGAUGAGCCUAAGUCGGAUUAGCUAGUUGGUGGGGUAAAGGCCUACCAAGGCGACGAUCUGUAGCGGGUCUGAGAGGAUGAUCCGCCACACUGGGACUGAGACACGGCCCAGACUCCUACGGGAGGCAGCAGUGGGGAAUAUUGGACAAUGGGCGGAAGCCUGAUCCAGCCAUGCCGCAUGUGUGAAGAAGGCCUUAUGGUUGUAAAGCACUUUAAGCGAGGAGGAGGCUACUUUAGUUAAUACCUAGAGAUAGUGGACGUUACUCGCAGAAUAAGCACCGGCUAACUCUGUGCCAGCAGCCGCCGCCG
Molecule: ribosomal RNA, 501 nt
Filed under: uncultured bacterium
Lineage: Bacteria
Description: partial 16S ribosomal RNA
Rfam family: Bacterial small subunit ribosomal RNA
Source: RNAcentral